This 253-nucleotide ribosomal RNA is filed under the name uncultured bacterium. RNAcentral's name for it is "partial 16S ribosomal RNA". It matches the Rfam family "Bacterial small subunit ribosomal RNA", at positions 524 to 776 of the family's 1533-position model. The record is from RNAcentral.
UACAGAGGGGGCAAGCGUUGUUCGGAAUUACUGGGCGUAAAGGGCGCGUAGGCGGCCUUCUAAGUCGAACGUGAAAUCCCCGGGCUCAACCCGGGGACUGCGUCCGAUACUGGAAGGCUUGAAUCCGGGAGAGGGAUGCGGAAUUCCAGGUGUAGCGGUGAAAUGCGUAGAUAUCUGGAGGAACACCGGUGGCGAAGGCGGCAUCCUGGACCGGCAUUGACGCUGAGGCGCGAAAGCCAGGGGAGCAAACGGG